GUGCCCGUAGCUCAACCGGAUAGAGCAUCAGCCUUCUAAGCUGACGGUUGUGGGUUCGAGUCCCUCCGGGCACGCCA
This 77-nucleotide transfer RNA is filed under the name Burkholderiales bacterium. RNAcentral describes it as "tRNA-Arg". It matches the Rfam family "tRNA". From Rfam's summary of the family: Transfer RNA (tRNA) molecules are approximately 80 nucleotides in length. Their secondary structure includes four short double-helical elements and three loops (D, anti-codon, and T loops). RNAcentral also lists the same sequence under 2 other names. Lineage: Bacteria; Pseudomonadati; Pseudomonadota; Betaproteobacteria; Burkholderiales. The record is from RNAcentral.